GAUGAACGCUGGCGGCGUGCUUAACACAUGCAAGUCGAACGGGAAUUAUUUUAUUGAAACUUCGGUCGAUUUAAUUUAAUUCUAGUGGCGGACGGGUGAGUAACGCGUGGGUAACCUGCCUUAUACAGGGGGAUAACAGUCAGAAAUGGCUGCUAAUACCGCAUAAGCGCACAGAGCUGCAUGGCUCAGUGUGAAAAACUCCGGUGGUAUAAGAUGGACCCGCGUUGGAUUAGCUUGUUGGCAGGGUAACGGCCUACCAAGGCGACGAUCCAUAGCCGGCCUGAGAGAGUGAACGGCCACAUUGGGACUGAGACACGGCCCAGACUCCUACGGGAGGCAGCAGUGGGGAAUAUUGCACAAUGGGGGAAACCCUGAUGCAGCGACGCCGCGUGAAGGAAGAAGUAUCGCGGUAUGUAAACUUCUAGCAGCAAGGAAGAUAGUGACGGUACCUGACUAAGAAGCCCCGGCUAACUACGUG
RNAcentral lists this ribosomal RNA (478 nucleotides) under uncultured bacterium. Its description in RNAcentral is "partial 16S ribosomal RNA". It matches the Rfam family "Bacterial small subunit ribosomal RNA", at positions 28 to 507 of the family's 1533-position model. The record is from RNAcentral.